Cinara cedri is the source of this 250-nucleotide non-coding RNA. NCBI's taxonomy places the organism in Eukaryota, Metazoa, Arthropoda, Insecta, Hemiptera, Aphididae. The record is from the annotation of a GenBank genome assembly.
AACAGCGAGGUUUUGGAAUUACGGAAAGCGAACAUUUUCAUUUUUUAAAACAAACUACACAACUAAUAUAAUGUAUAAAAACUUUCUGUCGCAUUUCCUUAGCAACGGAUUUUCGUAGCGUUUUUAUACACUGUUGUGACGCAAAUCCAGUCCAAAAAACAAUGUACAAUCGUAAAUUAACGAUUCGUUAGAAGCGGGGUACGGUGCAUCAUUUAUCAAUUUUAGUUAGGUUUUUACCAAAAAAACACUU